Molecule: long non-coding RNA, 4018 nt
Filed under: Sus scrofa (pig)
Lineage: Eukaryota; Metazoa; Chordata; Mammalia; Artiodactyla; Suidae
Description: lncRNA (ENSSSCG00000053008.1)
Source: RNAcentral
GAAAGGCCACAUUUUCUGGAAGAGACCAUAGAAUUUUCAAAGUUCAACGAGUUUGAUGUGACCAAUCUAUAUGAUGUCUUCUACUUGUCAAAAACUUGAGAAUAUAUUUUGAAAUUUUAUCAACAGCCUAAAUGAUCAUGACUUUUAGUGUGAAUUAUGAAAAGAAGAUUAUGGUAAAGCCAAAAUGAUUCAAAAGAAUUUUUACAUUUUGAAUGUAAAGAAGGCUGAGAUUUUUUUGAAAUUGGUACAUAAUUAUAGGGCACCUAUGUGCUAUUUUCAACAAAAAGACAAAAAUUAUAUAACCCCCAAAUAUACCAUUAGAUUGAUGUAAUUUCUUAUCAUUCUCUUUCAUUAGAAUUAGAUAAAAGUGGUAUAAAAGAUAAACUUUAAUAUUUAUGAUUAAAUGGUUUUAGACAAAGAGGCCAAGACAAGUAAAUGAGGAAUAAAAUUCUUUUCAAUAAAUGAUGUGACAACAGGCUAUCUGCAUGCAAGAAAGAAUUUAGACUCCUCACACCAUACACAAAAAUUAACUCACAGUGAAUCAGAGGCACCCAUGUUAGAGCUAAAACUAUAAAAAAGAAGAAAACACAAGAGUAAAUACUUAUGAUCUUGAGUUAGUGAUUUUUUUAAAUGUGGAACCAAAAACACAAGUGCUAAAAGAUUGAAAAAAUGUAACUUCAUCAAAUUAAGAACUUUUGUGCCCCACUGUAUACUGCCAAGAAAACAAAAAGACAACCAACAGAAUGGGGGAAAAUAUUUACAAAGUAUAGUUCUGUUAAGAGACCUAUAGUUAGGAUAUAUAAAUGAUUCUUAAAAACAAUUAAAAGACAACCAAGUUUUUUAAAUGUACAAAGGGUUUGAAUAGAUAUUAAUCCAAAGAGGAUGGCUAAGCAAAUGAAAACAUGCUGACCUCAUUAGUCAUUAGGGAAAUGCUGAUCAAAACCCUGUGGCACCACUUCAUACCCACUAGAGUGACUACAGUAAAGUGCUGGUGAAAAUGUUGAGAAACUGAAACUCUUACUUAUUGCUGGUGAGAAUGAAAGAUGGUACAGCCGCUUUGGAAAACAGGUUAGCAUUUCCUCAAAAUGUUAAAUAUAGAGUUAACAUAUGAGCCAGAAAUUUCACUCUUAAGUAUUUACCCAAGAGAAAUUAAAACACAUCCUCAUACAAACACUUGUACACAGCAGCAUUAUUCAUAAUAGCUAAAAAGUGGAAGUAAUCCAGCUGUCUAUAACUUGAUAAAUGGAUAAAUACAAUGUGGUGUAGCCAUAAAAUAGAGUAUUGUUAAACAAUAAAAAUGUAGUACCAAUACAGGUUGCAACAUGGAAGAACCUCAAAAACAUAUAAAAUGAAAAAACGCCAGUCACAGAAGAACACAUAUUGUGUAAUGCCACUUAUAAGUAAUAUCUAGCAUAGGCAAAUAUAUAGAGACAGAAAGUAGAUUAGUGGUUGACUGGGGGCUGCAGGGAAGGGGGAUGAAAUGGGGGGGGCAUGGAUAGGGAGUAACUGCUAAAAGGUACAAGAUUUCUCUUCAAGAUGGUGAAAAUAUUCUAAAAUUACGUUGUGGUGGUUGUAGAAGUCUAUAAAUAUACUAAAAACUAUUUAAUUGUACAUUUUAAAAGCGUGAACUUUGUGGUAUGUAAAGCAUAUCUCAAUAAAAUAUUUUUUCUAAGGCAUUAAAAGUGAAUAACUUUUGAGCAACUGGAGAAGAAACCAGAGAUUACAAGGACCCAUACUGAGUUUACUAAAAGUAGAUCGAAUUGGACUAACCUCCUUUUAUCACAAGUGAGGCUACUCAUUUAUUAGAUUGGGGGAGGCUGUUAACCUAGUUAAUGCAUCUGGAUUUUAUUAAGGUACAUUAGCAAGGUCUCUCAUCAUGUCCCGUUGACAAUUGAAUUAUUAUGAGAAAUAAGGUUUGAAGUCAUGGAGAGUUUGAUGGAUUCAUAACAUAAUAAAAGGGGCUGAUUAAUGAAUAUAUAUCAUUGUUAGAGGGAUACAAAGUUGUGAGAUUCAGUAUUAUGUAUUAAAUAUUAUUCUGUUUUGCAUUUUUAUCAAUGCCUUGGUUGAUGAAUGAUCAUUGAGAAUAAUCACUUAUUGAAUCCUAGCAGCAAAAUGCUAUCAUUGACAAAAUAUCUCAGUACGUUUGGUAAUAUUUACCUGGAUACACCUAGUAAAAGAAGCAAGAGGUAAAUGAAACAAAAGGCAAGAAAUAUUUCCUGGGAUUAAAUUUUUGCAGUUUAUCAUGUAUUAAUAUGCUCAAAAUAACUUUAUAAACAUUAAAUUUAGAAAAAUGGGGUCUCAAGACACCCAGUUCUAUCUUUUUCUCCAAAGUUCCCUCAGAUUUCAAUUCUAAAAUGAGUAGCUAAAGCCACAGGAAGGUAGACGUGUACUCAGCAUCAUUACUGGUCUUGGCCAGCAUAGUCCCCUAGGGACCAGAGCUAUGAGCUGGCCAUGAAGAGUAGUACUGGGUUUUGUUUCACUCACUAAGCAAGGAAAGGCUAAGAGAUUCUUGGGGAAUUAACAUCCUAAAAGAACACUUCAAGUCAACCCUGUUCUCUUCCAGCUAGUUUGACACAAAACUAAUGGUUCUAUGCACACGUUACCCUUCUGGAUUUCAUGUUGGCUCCAUCAUGUUUAUUAAAGGUAGAGAAGCCAAGUACAAGAUGUUUUGGAAACUAAAUACCUGGUGUUCUGACACAAUUUUUGGAUGAGCCAUGAGUUAGUAGAUUCGUCACAAACACUUGUCUGUUCACUCAGUGUUUACUGGGAAACAUGUUUUCUUCCCUCUCUCUCAUUUGGUUAAAAUAGGUUUUCUUUUUUUUUUCUCUCUCUGGGCCUUUGAGUGAAGUUGAAAGGUAUAGUUCUGCCAAAAUUCAGGUUGCAAAACAACUCUAAGUGACCUAAACUACUAUAGCAAGCAUGAAUCCCUGAAGCCCAUGCUUUCAACACUUAAGCAAGGGUCUUUCAAAUACCAGUGUCUGGCCUAUUCUCCAAUGAAAUAGGUACUUCAGGCUUUUCUCUCAGGGCUUCUUUCAGCAACCUACUUCCCAAAGCAGAAAAGUGGUAGUAGCAUUUAACAGGAUGAAUGCUGAAGAUUGUAUUUCUCCUCCAAAGAACAUAUUAUGUGAGGGCUUUAAUAAUUAAUUUAAAGUAUUUAUAACAUAGUAAUUUCUACCUAGAAUUCUCUGAUAACAUCUCUUUCUUUAGUUAUAAAAUGUAAUUUAGCCCAAACCGCAUGAUUGCUUUGGUUUUGGCACAGGAUUUUUUUGCCUUGAUUCUAGAGUUUUCAGAUGAUUCUAGGAAUCCUAACAAUACUUAACAUUUAUGGAGAAAAGUGCCAAGAAGUUGAGCCAGAUAUAGCAAAAAUGCUAUAUUUGCCAUGUAGCAUUUCCAAACCUUUUAGCACUUCUGUAAGAUAAGGUAUUACUGUUCUUAUUUUCCAUAUGGAGGUGUUGGCAGUCAGAGUAAUUAACUCAUUCAGACUCACAGCUGGUAAGUUACAGAGUCAAGAUUUGAACCCAUAUUUUCUGACUCCAGUCUGAUGCACCCUCCUCUGAGUUGGGUAAUCCAGUGCCCUUUCUUUCUUUCAAGUUUGCAAAACUUUGUUAUUGCUUAAGUGGGAAUAUGUAGAUAUCUUUGAAUCUAUACUUCAUAUUGAAAAAGGUAACAAAUUUUAGUUGAGGAAAAGAAUAGUCCACUCUGAGGAAUUUACUCUACAUGAUUUUAAAACUUCUUUUAUAAAAGUUAUGAUUAUUCCAUUUGGUUCUUCAUAGCAUAGAUUAGAUUAUUUUCAUAGUCUAAACCCUGGCCAUUUGUUCUACCUUUAUUAAGUCCCGCGUGUUAUGUCUUACUUUUUGAUUUGAUGUUUUGUGAUCUCUUCCCCUUAUUUAUUCUAAACUGCACACUUUAAAUUUAUUUCUCUCCUGAUUAAUUUAUUAACUCCAAUUUCACAUUUUUUUCUCAGAUAAUUUACACAGAAGAAGAAUAUUGUGGACUAAUAAUAGCAGAAAAGAUAAGA